This is a long non-coding RNA of Mustela erminea (ermine), 522 nucleotides long. RefSeq lists it as uncharacterized. Lineage: Eukaryota; Metazoa; Chordata; Mammalia; Carnivora; Mustelidae. The record is from RefSeq and is a predicted model, not a curated record. The transcript is spliced from 3 exons.
GGUAAAAUAAAAACAUUUUAAUACGUUUUUCUUUAAUAUAAACUUUAUACAGAAUGGCUGAAAUUAGAAACAUUAUCACCUCUGACUCUAUGAGUAUAUGUAUCUUUAUGUAUUUUAUGUCUUUUAGUCAAAAGGCCUGAAAUAUUUUCAUACACAUCUCAGCGUCCUUGUGAGAUAAGAUAUGGCAUAUUAUUUUCAUUUUAUAAAUAGAAAAAUUGAGAAAUGAAUAAGUUAAGUGAAAGUCAUCAGCUGGAAAUACUUAAAUCACCAGAAACUACAGUGAAAAUGAAGUCAUUCUGGACUCUACCUUGAAGUGAAGUCAGAACUACACGAACUAUCCAAGAUGUUUGUUUUGGCCGCAUUCAAGACUGGAAUUGAAGGCAUAUCGUUCACAGGUUCAGCUACAAUAGAAGAUGCAAGCCUCAAAAUGAUGAACACCUACUACCUCCUUGUGGACGAACGACACGAGGCUGCACAAACGAGGGCUUCACAACUUCGAACCACCAGAAGAGCUCAGCCAUG